Molecule: ribosomal RNA, 445 nt
Filed under: uncultured bacterium
Lineage: Bacteria
Description: bacterial SSU rRNA
Rfam family: Bacterial small subunit ribosomal RNA
Source: RNAcentral
GGGGAGGCAGCAGUGAGGAAUAUUGCGCAAUGGGGGAAACCCUGACGCAGCCACGCCGCGUGAGUGAUGAAGGCCUUCGGGUUGUAAAGCUCUGUCGGGAGGGACGAAGGGGAAACCCUGACGGUACCUCGCAAGAAAGCACCGGCUAACUCUGUGCCAGCAGCCGCGGUAAUACAGAGGGUGCAAGCGUUGCUCGGAUUUACUGGGCGUAAAGCGUACGCAGACGGUGAAGAAGGUCGGAUGUGAGAGCCCCGGGCUCAACCCGGGAACUGCAUCCGAAACCGCUUCGCUAGAGUAUGGGAGAGGAAAGCGGAAUUCCUGGUGUAGAGGUGAAAUUCGUAGAUAUCAGGAGGAACACCUGCGGCGAAGGCGGCUUUCUGGCCCAUUACUGACGUUCAGGUACGAAAGCGUGGGUAGCAAACAGGAUUAGAUACCCUGGUAGUCG